This 2395-nucleotide long non-coding RNA is filed under the name Equus caballus (horse). Its description in RNAcentral is "lncRNA (ENSECAG00000057412.1)". Lineage: Eukaryota; Metazoa; Chordata; Mammalia; Perissodactyla; Equidae. The record is from RNAcentral.
UGUCGUUCUCUUUAGUUUCCCUCAUCUGGGAUGGCUCCUCGGUCUGUCUUUUGUAACCUUGGCAUUUGGAGGAGGACAGGCCAGUUAUUGAGUCAAUUCUGUGACCCUCUGACGUGAACCGUCUUUGACAGCUUCCUUGCUUUCUGGCACAACAAGGUGCCAAAUUCAUUUGUACAUUUCCUGUUCCCAGUCUUAAUCGGCCAUUUCUCGAAGAUCCCUGGUUUCCUUCAGUGGGAAAUGAUAUUUAGAGAGAAGAGCUGAAUUCCAAUGAUGCUGCUGUUGACUGGGACGAGAGAGACCUGUUUGUUGAAAUGGAGUGUUCUACUGGCAAGCGGUUACAUAAAGGACAACGUGGGCACAAAGGACCCAGGUGGAGAACCUGAACUAACCCUUCUUUGGGUCUGAUUUGGGUAGCGCCCCCGUCUUUGUUUGCUGCGUCGGGAGCUGGUGCAUGCCAAGCCUCGCCCUGCGGUUGCCCACGGCACCCGUUUCUGUCUAUAUUAACUUGACUUUGCUGUGCCUCCGUUUGCAUUAGCAUCUCUUUACUCUUCCUGCAUUGUGUUUGUGAUUUUUUUUUUUGACAUCGAAAAAAAAUAGUUCGUCAGAAUUUGUUUCCCAAACCUUUACUUUACUUCCAAGUUUCACGGAGAAGUUUGAAAUGUUUGAGAGACGUUGUCCUGGAGAAAAGACCAGAAAAGCGGGAGAGCGAUGGAUGUGUUUCUAUAAUGACCACAAGACACUCGUCGUACAGCAAUUCAGGGCUCCAGGAACAACGCAGAGAAACACAUGUGCUUUUCACCACCUGUGCUGUGUUUAGCACACCCACCUGGCUAUUCGGCAAACCCCGUGAAAGGAAAUUAGCACCAUCCUCAACCUUCUGGAGCCUCCACGGUCCCCUCCUGGCUGUGGGGGCCAGGCCCCUAUUCAACACCCAGACUGAGCCCUUAAAACCCUCUCCAGCUGAAGCCUUCCUGUGGCUUCUCAGCACACUCAGAAUAGACCGAAGGUCCUCACCCAGACUUACAAGGCCACGGGCUCUGGUUUUCCACAGUGAGGGCAAAUACAAGUGAGAAAUAAGAGGCUUAAUUCCCCUGUUGAAAAUAAAGGACGAGACUUCCCUCCCCUUCCCUUUUCUAAGAGCAUUUGCUUUAGAAAAUGUCUACAUUUUCUCAGUCUCUUUGAGAUGUAUGUGAAUCUUGUUAACGCUAAAGAAUCGUCUUGCCAGAAUGUCUUUCUCAAGGACUCAGGAAGCACCUCUUUGAAAUGUCACCAUCAAGGAUGAUAAGUGCCCCUGUCUCCCAGCCUCUCUGGGGGUGAAGUUAGAAUGGACUCUGUGUGGCAAAUGGUGCUGUCGAGUCCCCUUACUUGAGGACCACUCGUUAUUUAUCUUGCGAACGUGUUUGAAAUGAGUUGUAUCCGCUGGGCUGCGUAAAAGGGCGAGAGUUCUUCCUGUCUGCAGGCUCUUGGUGGCUUGCCUGUGGUGCACCCUGAAUUCUGGCUUAGUGCUUAUUCAUUAGCAAAAUUGUUUUCUUUCUCUUCUACCUAUGUAGAGAGGUUUUUUGGGUCGGAAGAAGAUUUUCUUUUAAUGCUAUUUCUCCAAAGCUAGCUACCCCUCCACCCUCCUUGUUCGCUCAGCUCCAGCCACACGGGCUUCUGUAUUCGUCUUAAAAAGCGUUAAGCAUGCACCUCACUCGGGGCCUUGCGUUUCUUGUUCCUUAGGCUUAGCCUUGUCUCUGCCCGCGUAUUCCUUGUGGCUCGCUUGCUUCUUCCACCCGGUCCCUCCUCAGAGAGGCCGUCCCUGACCACAGCUCUCCGUCCUCUUCAUGUUUCCUCCUGGCACAGUCACUGUUUACUUGAUUCUAGUCCGUCUCUCCUCUAGCAGCUCGCCUCGUGUGGGCAGCACGUGGCCUGUGUGCUCAUCACUGUGUCUGCAGCCCCAACUGUGCCUGGUGUUGGAGAAACAAAAUUAAAAAUGUCUCCUGCCAACCCAGAACGCCUUUCCACAAAGGUGCCUUCCAUAUACCAAUUAUUAACAUUGCAGGUGGACUAUAGUACGAUUUGGCCAUUAAUUCUUGAGCCUUCCUCUCUGGGUACUGGUGGAAAUCUGAGCCAGAUGUGGCCAGGGUGGAGUUUUCCUGCCUGAAUCUCAUCCUCAGCCUUCCUAGGGCUGCCUUGUAUGUGUCGACGUCCCGCGUUAUCCUGUGGGCCUCACUGGCCACGUCGAGAACACGGCAUGGGACACCUUCUUGUACUCAGCUGCUCACAUCCUCUUCCUGUGUAUCUCCAGUGGCCCCAAAUGUCUUCUUUGAGACAAGCACACACCCGUUUACAGUUCCUACUCCAGGAGGCCAGCAUGUAGUAAUCUCUCCAUAAAUGUAAAAUAAACAAAUUCACC